UGGGGAAUUUUGGACAAUGGGCGAAAGCCUGAUCCAGCAAUGCCGCGUGUGUGAAGAAGGCCUUCGGGUUGUAAAGCACUUUUGUCCGGAAAGAAAUCCUUGGCUCUAAUACAGUCGGGGGAUGACGGUACCGGAAGAAUAAGCACCGGCUAACUACGUGCCAGCAGCCGCGGUAAUACGUAGGGUGCAAGCGUUAAUCGGAAUUACUGGGCGUAAAGCGUGCGCAGGCGGUUUGUAAGACGAUGUGAAAUCCCCGGGCUAACCUGGGAACUGCAUUGCGAACUGCAGGCUAGAGUAUGGCAGAGGGGGGUAGAAUUCCACGUGUAGCAGUGAAAUGCGUAGAGAUGUGGAGGAAUACCGAUGGCGAAGGCAGCCCCCUGGGCCAAUACUGACGCUCAUGCACGAAAGCGUGGGGAGCAAACAGGAUUAGAUACCCUGGUAGUCCACGCCCUAAACGAUGUCAACUAGUUGUUGGGGAUUCAUUUCCUUAGUAACGUAGCUAACGCGUGAAGUUGACCGCCUGGGGGAGUACGGUCGCAAGAUUAAAACUUCAAAUGGAAUUGACGGGGUCAUAGCUGUUUCCU
Molecule: ribosomal RNA, 584 nt
Filed under: uncultured bacterium
Lineage: Bacteria
Description: partial 16S ribosomal RNA
Rfam family: Bacterial small subunit ribosomal RNA
Source: RNAcentral